AAAAACUUAAUUCCUAGGUUUCCAUGUCUAACAUUUGAUUGUCCGUCUUAUUUAAAAAAAAUAUAAAAAAAUUUAAAAAUAUAAGUUAUAUAUAAAGUAUUAUUCAUAUUUUAUCAUCUAACAGUAAUAAAAAUACUAAUCAUAAAAAUUUUAUAUAAGACGGACGUUCAAACGUUGGACACGGAAACCCAAGAAUUGAGUCUUU
This 205-nucleotide microRNA precursor is filed under the name Oryza glumipatula. RNAcentral describes it as "MIR812 microRNA precursor family". It matches the Rfam family "MIR812 microRNA precursor family". Lineage: Eukaryota; Viridiplantae; Streptophyta; Magnoliopsida; Poales; Poaceae. The record is from Rfam by way of RNAcentral.